GGUGACGGCCACACGGGGAAGCCCCGCUCCAAGUCUCCGAGACAGAAAUCAUGUUGCACGCGGGCCACUGGAGACGGUGGAAUCAGAACUUCUGGGCAGGCGGUGUAGAGAGUUCAACCAUGUGUCCCCCGUGCAAGCUGCUGUGUUUACAGGACUGUCUGUCAGCUUUUAAAGCGCUGCUCCUGAACUGGAUUUCCCCUGAUGGUACUUUCUGUUGUUACAGAAGUUAUUAGUAUUUAUUUCAAUUUUGGUAUAAAGUUGUUGUUAUGCUUUACUGUGUAUUCUUUUUGUGUUUUAACUUAACAGCCUGCACUAAUGUGAAUACCACCCAUCUAUGGGGUCACGUCUGGAACCUUGUAACCCUGAGCCAUUAAAUGUCAGUUAAAUUGAAGAGA
Mus pahari (shrew mouse) is the source of this 395-nucleotide long non-coding RNA. RefSeq lists it as uncharacterized. The transcript is spliced from 2 exons. NCBI's taxonomy places the organism in Eukaryota, Metazoa, Chordata, Mammalia, Rodentia, Muridae. The record is from RefSeq and is a predicted model, not a curated record.